RNAcentral lists this unclassified non-coding RNA (255 nucleotides) under Inocybe sp. Its description in RNAcentral is "partial contains 5.8S ribosomal RNA, internal transcribed spacer 2, and large subunit ribosomal RNA". Lineage: Eukaryota; Fungi; Basidiomycota; Agaricomycetes; Agaricales; Inocybaceae. The record is from RNAcentral.
AACGCACAUUCGCGCCCCUCUGGUAUUCCGAGGGGCAUGCCUGUUCGAGCGUCAUUACUACCUUCAAGCACGGCUUGGUUGUUGAGCCAAUUGUCCUGUUGAUGGACAGGCUUAAAAUGUAGUGGCGAUGCCGAGUCCUGGUGCCCGAGCAUAUGGAGCCUGUCACGUGCUUUAGUGGCCCAGCCGGCAUUUUCGUCGAUUAAACUUUGAAAAAGAUUUGACCUCGGAUCAGGUAAGGAUACCCGCUGAACUUAA